AUUCAGACUUGUUCGAGGGAGAAACAUUCUCUGGGAAGGAUCCGUGAUAACACUGAAACAUCUGAAGGAUGAAGUUCUGACAGUAAAGACAGGCAUGGAAUGUGGCCUUUCUCUAGAUAAUGAAGAACUUGAAUACAAACCUGGGGAUGAAAUUAUUUGUUACAGUCAAUCUGAGAUCAAACAGAAAAUUUCUUGGGAUCCAGGAUUUUAAGGGACUGCAUUUGGCUCAUCGGUAUACUAUGCUGUGUAGUUUACAUGCACAUGCAGUAGCUAUAACAAGACUAGCUGUAGCAAACCUACAGUCACCAACAGGUAAUUAAAAAAAAAAAAU
This is a long non-coding RNA of Sinocyclocheilus grahami, 331 nucleotides long. RefSeq lists it as uncharacterized. The record is from RefSeq and is a predicted model, not a curated record. NCBI's taxonomy places the organism in Eukaryota, Metazoa, Chordata, Actinopteri, Cypriniformes, Cyprinidae. The transcript is spliced from 2 exons.